GACGAACGCUGGCGGCGUGCUUAACACAUGCAAGUCGAACGGAACGGCCCUGUUUUUGUGGGGUGCUCGCGUGGCGAAAGGGUGAGUUAAACGUGAGUAAACUGGCCCCGCCCUUGGGGUAACCUCAUGAAAAUGGGGCUAAUAACGGGUAGGAGCUCCUGUUGCACGGUGGGGGUUGGAGAGAUUAGGCGGUUGGGGCUGGUCUGGGGGCUUAUCAGCUUGUUGGCGGGGUAGUGGUUUACGGAGGCUUUGACGGGUAGCCGGCUUGAGAGGGUGAGAGGCCACGCUGGGACUGAGAUAGGGCCCAGACGCGGACGGGAGGCAGCAGUGGGGGAAAUUGCACAAUGGGCGGGAGCCGGAUGCAGCAACGCCGCGUGCGUGAUGACGGCCUUCGGGUUGUAAACCGCUUUCGCCUGUUACUGAGCGGGAGGGACGGAAAUGGGUAAAGAAGCACCGGCUAACUACGUG
This 468-nucleotide ribosomal RNA is filed under the name uncultured bacterium. RNAcentral's name for it is "partial 16S ribosomal RNA". It matches the Rfam family "Bacterial small subunit ribosomal RNA", at positions 28 to 507 of the family's 1533-position model. The record is from RNAcentral.